CUAGUUACUGUGACAUAUUUGGUAUGGAAUACAUCAUCAGUGAAAGAGAGAGAAGUCAGUUGGUGACCAGGUAGAUGGACAUUAAACAUUGGGGAUGAAAACUCGAAUUGCUGACAAGUUUUUGGUGUGAGCAUCACAUCUCAACAACUAGAGUGAAGAAAUAAUUAUCUAGGAUGGCAAUGAAACACACUGAUCCUACAUUUAUAAUAUGGAUAAAAGAAGAAAAAAAAGACAGGAUCAAAAGUGGAUUUUAGUUGUAAACUCAGCCAUGGCAGCAAUACAAUGAAUCCACUGAAUGCAUCCUUCAUUUGACAGUAAAGAAAUCAGCCAAAGACUGAAUCCUGAUACAGAAAAUAUAAAGAACAAAUGGCAGCAAUUCCAAUUUUAAGUAAAUUUUUAUAUGGAAAACAUUUUCUUCCAUGCAAUCCCAAAUCACAAAAUAAUGAAAAAUUCUCAAAAGUUUUUACUGGAAUACUUUUAAAUUUGUUUUAUUAUCUACCUAUAAACUGCCCUAUUCCUGAAGCCCUGCAAGCUAGGGCUGGGCAACUUGAUAUAAACUUCAGAGGACAAUCUUCAUGCAUGCUGCUGUGUGGGCUGCUAAGGAAGUUCACCAAAACAUCCAAUGACAUAAACUAAGCUUGUCCAACAUGUGGCCCACAGGCUGCAUGCAGCCAAAGAUGGCUUUGAAUGUGGCCCA
RNAcentral lists this long non-coding RNA (697 nucleotides) under Homo sapiens (human). RNAcentral describes it as "HSALNT0313051". The record is from RNAcentral. Lineage: Eukaryota; Metazoa; Chordata; Mammalia; Primates; Hominidae.